UUGAUUAUUGGUUAUACAGUUGUAUAUCUUUGGCCGUAGUGCAAAGAUGAAUAUAUUAGUAUGAUUAUGAGCAGGAAUUGUGAUUUGGUAUAACCAUGAUUUUUGAUGUUUUAGGUGAAGAUAGGUGAUGUAAAUUAUCUUCGUCCUGGGUGCGAAAAGGAACUCAGAAUAAUAAUUAUGAUUACGAGUUAUUCAUAUGAUUGUGGAUAGGAAUUAUUGAUUGAUGUUACAGGGAUAAAACAUUAUUGGUGGACUUUUAACAUGGAGGAGAUAAUAGACCUGAUGGUCUAUUUGACUCUUCUAAUGGAUUGCUCGUUC
RNAcentral lists this long non-coding RNA (318 nucleotides) under Panax ginseng (ginseng). RNAcentral's name for it is "long non-coding RNA (PGIN_LNC005664)". Lineage: Eukaryota; Viridiplantae; Streptophyta; Magnoliopsida; Apiales; Araliaceae. The record is from RNAcentral.